CCUACGGGUGGCAGCAGUAGGGAAUCUUCGGCAAUGGACGAAAGUCUGACCGAGCCACGUCGCGUGAGUGAAGAAGGUUCUCGGAUCGUUAAACUCUGUUGGUAGAGAAGAACGUUGGUGAGAGUGGAAAGCUCAUCAAGUGACGUUAACUACCCAGAAAGGGACGGCUAACUACGUGCCAGCAGCCGGGGUAAUACGUAGGUCCCGAGCGUUGUCUGGUUUUAUUGGGCGUAAAGCGAGCGCAGUGGUUUUAUUAUGUUUGGGUGAAAAGGCAGUGGCUCAACCAUUGUAUGCAUUGGAAACUGGUAGACUUGAGUGCAGGAGAGGAGAGUGGAAUGCCAUGUGUAGCGGUGAAAUGCGUAGAUAUAUGGAGGAACACCGAUGGCGAAAGCGGCUCUCUGGCCUGUAACUGACACUGAGGCUCGAAAGCGUGGGGAGCAAACAGGAUUAGAUACCCGAGUAGUC
This 465-nucleotide ribosomal RNA is filed under the name uncultured bacterium. RNAcentral's name for it is "partial 16S ribosomal RNA". It matches the Rfam family "Bacterial small subunit ribosomal RNA", at positions 338 to 795 of the family's 1533-position model. The record is from RNAcentral.